CACGUGGGUAACCUGCCCAAGAGAUCGGGAUAACACCUGGAAACAGAUGCUAAUACCGGAUAACAACAGAUGAUGCCUAUCAACUGUUUAAAAGAUGGUUCUGCUAUCACUCUUGGAUGGACCUGCGGUACAUUAGCUAGUUGGUAGGGUAACGGCCUACCAAGGCGAUGAUGCAUAGCCGAGUUGAGAGACUGAUCGGCCACAUUGGGACUGAGACACGGCCCAAACUCCUACGGGAGGCAGCAGUU
Molecule: ribosomal RNA, 248 nt
Filed under: uncultured Lactobacillus sp.
Lineage: Bacteria; Bacillati; Bacillota; Bacilli; Lactobacillales; Lactobacillaceae
Description: partial 16S ribosomal RNA
Rfam family: Bacterial small subunit ribosomal RNA
Source: RNAcentral